GACGAACGCUGGCGGCGUGCCUUAGACAUGCAAGUCGAACGGAGUAGCAAUACUCAGUGGCGAACGGCGGAGUAAUGCAUAAGCAACGUGCCCCAAAGACUGGGAUAGUCGAGGGAAACCACGGGUAAUACCAGAUGUGGUCCUUAGAUGGCAUCAUCGAGGGAUUAAAUCGAGCAAUCGGCUUUGGGAGCGGCUUAUGUCCUAUCAGCUUGUUGGUGAGGUAACGGCUCACCAAGGCUACGACGGGUAGGGGGUCUGAGAGGAUGAUCCCCCCGAGUGGGACUGCGACACGGCCCACACACCUACGGGUGGCAGCAGUUUGGAAUAUUGCACAAUGGGGGAAACCCUGAUGCAGCGACGCCGCGUGGAGGACGAAGGAUCUAGGUCUGUAAACUCCUUUUGCCAGGAAAGACUUAGGACGGUACCUGGCGAAUAAGCCCCGGCUAACUACGUGCCAGCAGCCGCGGUAAGACGUAGGGGGCGAGCGUUGUCCGGAUUUACUGGGCGUAAAGAGCGCGUAGGCGGCUAGUUAAGUGAGAAGUGAAAUCUCCAGGGCUCAACCCGGAAACUGCUUUUCAUACUGGCCAGCUGGAGGGACGCAGGGGUGACUGGAAUUCCCGGUGUAGCGGUGAAAUGCAUUGAUAUCGGGAGGAACUCCAACAGCGAAGGCAGGUCACUGGGCGUUUCCUGACGCUGAGGCGCGAAAGCGUGGGUAGCAAACAGGAUUAGAUACCCUGGUAGUCCACGCCCUAAACGAUGGAUACUAGACGUAGAGGUAUCGACCCCUCUUGUGUCGCAGCUAACGCAUUAAGUAUCCCGCCUGGGGAGUACGGCCGCAAGGUGAAACUCAAUGAAUUGACGGGGACCCGCACAAGCGGUGGAGCAUGUGGAUUAAUUCGAUACUAACCGAAGAACCUUACCCAGGUUUGACAUCGAUGGUAAGCCCGAGAGAUCGGGCCCUCUCUCACAAGGAGACCUGAAGACAGAUGUUGCAUGGCUGUCGUCAGCUCGUGCCGUGAGGUGUACGGUUAAGUCCGCCAACGAGCGCAACCCUCGUCCUAUGUUGCCAGCGAGUAAUGUCGGGAACUCAUAGGAGACCGCCGGUGUAAGCCGGAGGAAGGUGGGGAUGAUGUCAAGUCAGCAUGGCUCUUACGCCUGGGGCUUCACACAUGCUACAAUGGGCGCAACAAAGGGCACCGAAGCCGUGAGGUGGAGGCAAUCCCAAAAAUACGCCCCCAGUUCAGAUUGCAGUCUGCAACUCGACUGCAUGAAGGCGGAAUCGCUAGUAAACGCAGGUCAGCUAUACUGCGUUGAAUACGUUCCCGGGUCUUGUACACACCGCCCGUCAAGUCACCUGAAUUGUCUUCACCCGAAGUCCGUGGCCUAACCGUAAGGAGGGAGCGGCCGAAGGUGAGGGGAGUAAGGGGGACUA
This 1432-nucleotide ribosomal RNA is filed under the name uncultured anaerobic ammonium-oxidizing bacterium. RNAcentral's name for it is "bacterial SSU rRNA". It matches the Rfam family "Bacterial small subunit ribosomal RNA". The record is from RNAcentral.